CCUACGGGUGGCAGCAGUGGGGAAUUUUGCGCAAUGGGCGAAAGCCUGACGCAGCGACGCCGCGUGGAGGAUGAAGGCCCUUGGGUCGUAAACUCCUGUCAGGUGGGAAGCUGUACCACCGGAGGAAGCCCCGGCUAACUCCGUGCCAGCAGCCGCGGUAAUACGGAGGGGGCAAGCGUUGUUCGGAAUUAUUGGGCGUAAAGGGCGCGUAGGCGGCCGACCAAGUCGGGUGUGAAAUCCCUCGGCUCAACCGAGGAACUGCAUUCGAUACUGGUUGGCUAGAGUCCGGGAGGGGAUGGUGGAAUUCCCAGUGUAGCGGUGAAAUGCGUAGAUAUUGGGAAGAACACCGGUGGCGAAGGCGGCCAUCUGGACCGGACUGACGCUGAGGCGCGAAAGCCAGGGGAGCGAAUGGGAUUAGAUACCCUUGUAGUC
This 432-nucleotide ribosomal RNA is filed under the name uncultured bacterium. Its description in RNAcentral is "partial 16S ribosomal RNA". It matches the Rfam family "Bacterial small subunit ribosomal RNA", at positions 338 to 795 of the family's 1533-position model. The record is from RNAcentral.